CCUACGGGAGGCAGCAGUGAGGAAUAUUGGUCAAUGGCCGGAAGUCUGAACCAGCCAUGCCGCGUGAAGGUCAGUGCCCUAUGGGCGUUAAACUUCUUUUGUGCGGGAGCAAUAAUGGUCACGUGUGGCCAGACGAGAGUACCGUACGAAUAAGCAUCGGCUAACUCCGGUCCAGCAGCCGCGGUUAAACGGGGAGGGCAAGCGUUAUCCGGAUUUAUUGGGUUUAAAGGGUGCGUAGGCUGGGAGGUAAGUCGGCGGUGAAAUGCCCCCGCUCAACGGGGUGAAGUGCCAUGGAUACUGCCUGGCUGGAAUGCGGAUGAGGUGGGAGGAAUGUGUGGUGUAGCGGUGAAAUGCAUAGAUAUCACACAGAACACCGAUUGCGAAGGCAUCUCACGAAUCCGCGAUUGACGCUGAUGCACGAAAGCGUGGGUAUCAAACAGGAUUAGAUACCCCAGUAGUC
This 460-nucleotide ribosomal RNA is filed under the name uncultured bacterium. Its description in RNAcentral is "partial 16S ribosomal RNA". It matches the Rfam family "Bacterial small subunit ribosomal RNA", at positions 338 to 795 of the family's 1533-position model. The record is from RNAcentral.